This 85-nucleotide transfer RNA is filed under the name Neurospora africana FGSC 1740. RNAcentral describes it as "tRNA-Gly (CCC) (tRNA-Gly-CCC-8-1)". Lineage: Eukaryota; Fungi; Ascomycota; Sordariomycetes; Sordariales; Sordariaceae. The record is from RNAcentral.
GUGCAGUUAGUACAGUGGUUUAUCACUCCAUGUCUCGUUUCCCAAACGAGCGACCCGGGAUCAUGUUCGAAUCCCGGACUGCGCA